UAGGGAAUCUUCCGCAAUGGACGCAAGUCUGACGGAGCAACGCCGCGUGAGUGAAGAAGGAUUUCGGUUCGUAAAACUCUGUUGUUAGAGAAGAACAGCGCAUAGAGUAACUGUUAUGCGUGUGACGGUAUCUAACCAGAAAGCCACGGCUAACUACGUGCCAGCAGCCGCGGUAAUACGUAGGUGGCAAGCGUUGUCCGGAUUUAUUGGGCGUAAAGCGAGCGCAGGCGGUCAAUUAAGUCUGAUGUGAAAGCCCCCGGCUCAACCGGGGAGGGUCAUUGGAAACUGGUUGACUUGAGUGCAGAAGAGGAGAGUGGAAUUCCAUGUGUAGCGGUGAAAUGCGUAGAUAUAUGGAGGAACACCAGUGGCGAAGGCGACUCUCUGGUCUGUACAUGACGCUGAGGCUCGAAAGCGUGGGUAGCAAACAGG
RNAcentral lists this ribosomal RNA (429 nucleotides) under Bacteroidota bacterium. Its description in RNAcentral is "Bacteroidetes bacterium partial 16S ribosomal RNA". It matches the Rfam family "Bacterial small subunit ribosomal RNA", at positions 355 to 776 of the family's 1533-position model. The record is from RNAcentral. Lineage: Bacteria; Pseudomonadati; Bacteroidota.